GGUUAAGCGACUAAGCGUACACGGUGGAUGCCCUGGCAGUCAGAGGCGAUGAAGGACGUGCUAAUCUGCGAUAAGCGUCGGUAAGGUGAUAUGAACCGUUAUAACCGGCGAUUUCCGAAUGGGGAAACCCAGUGUGUUUCGACACACUAUCAUUAACUGAAUCCAUAGGUUAAUGAGGCGAACCGGGGGAACUGAAACAUCUAAGUACCCCGAGGAAAAGAAAUCAACCGAGAUUCCCCCAGUAGCGGCGAGCGAACGGGGAGCAGCCCAGAGCCUGAAUCAGUGUGUGUGUGUUAGUGGAAGCGUCUGGAAAGGCGCGCGAUACAGGGUGACAGCCCCGUACACAAAAAUGCACAUGCUGUGAGCUCGAUGAGUAGGGCGGGACACGUGGUAUCCUGUCUGAAUAUGGGGGGACCAUCCUCCAAGGCUAAAUACUCCUGACUGACCGAUAGUGAACCAGUACCGUGAGGGAAAGGCGAAAAGAACCCCGGCGAGGGGAGUGAAAAAGAACCUGAAACCGUGUACGUACAAGCAGUGGGAGCACGCUUAGGCGUGUGACUGCGUACCUUUUGUAUAAUGGGUCAGCGACUUAUAUUCUGUAGCAAGGUUAACCGAAUAGGGGAGCCGAAGGGAAACCGAGUCUUAACUGGGCGUUAAGUUGCAGGGUAUAGACCCGAAACCCGGUGAUCUAGCCAUGGGCAGGUUGAAGGUUGGGUAACACUAACUGGAGGACCGAACCGACUAAUGUUGAAAAAUUAGCGGAUGACUUGUGGCUGGGGGUGAAAGGCCAAUCAAACCGGGAGAUAGCUGGUUCUCCCCGAAAGCUAUUUAGGUAGCGCCUCGUGAAUUCAUCUCCGGGGGUAGAGCACUGUUUCGGCAAGGGGGUCAUCCCGACUUACCAACCCGAUGCAAACUGCGAAUACCGGAGAAUGUUAUCACGGGAGACACACGGCGGGUGCUAACGUCCGUCGUGAAGAGGGAAACAACCCAGACCGCCAGCUAAGGUCCCAAAGUCAUGGUUAAGUGGGAAACGAUGUGGGAAGGCCCAGACAGCCAGGAUGUUGGCUUAGAAGCAGCCAUCAUUUAAAGAAAGCGUAAUAGCUCACUGGUCGAGUCGGCCUGCGCGGAAGAUGUAACGGGGCUAAACCAUGCACCGAAGCUGCGGCAGCGACGCUUAUGCGUUGUUGGGUAGGGGAGCGUUCUGUAAGCCUGUGAAGGUGUGCUGUGAGGCAUGCUGGAGGUAUCAGAAGUGCGAAUGCUGACAUAAGUAACGAUAAAGCGGGUGAAAAGCCCGCUCGCCGGAAGACCAAGGGUUCCUGUCCAACGUUAAUCGGGGCAGGGUGAGUCGACCCCUAAGGCGAGGCCGAAAGGCGUAGUCGAUGGGAAACAGGUUAAUAUUCCUGUACUUGGUGUUACUGCGAAGGGGGGACGGAGAAGGCUAUGUUGGCCGGGCGACGGUUGUCCCGGUUUAAGCGUGUAGGCUGGUUUUCCAGGCAAAUCCGGAAAAUCAAGGCUGAGGCGUGAUGACGAGGCACUACGGUGCUGAAGCAACAAAUGCCCUGCUUCCAGGAAAAGCCUCUAAGCAUCAGGUAACAUCAAAUCGUACCCCAAACCGACACAGGUGGUCAGGUAGAGAAUACCAAGGCGCUUGAGAGAACUCGGGUGAAGGAACUAGGCAAAAUGGUGCCGUAACUUCGGGAGAAGGCACGCUGAUAUGUAGGUGAAGUCCCUCGCGGAUGGAGCUGAAAUCAGUCGAAGAUACCAGCUGGCUGCAACUGUUUAUUAAAAACACAGCACUGUGCAAACACGAAAGUGGACGUAUACGGUGUGACGCCUGCCCGGUGCCGGAAGGUUAAUUGAUGGGGUCAGCGCAAGCGAAGCUCUUGAUCGAAGCCCCGGUAAACGGCGGCCGUAACUAUAACGGUCCUAAGGUAGCGAAAUUCCUUGUCGGGUAAGUUCCGACCUGCACGAAUGGCGUAAUGAUGGCCAGGCUGUCUCCACCCGAGACUCAGUGAAAUUGAACUCGCUGUGAAGAUGCAGUGUACCCGCGGCAAGACGGAAAGACCCCGUGAACCUUUACUAUAGCUUGACACUGAACAUUGAGCCUUGAUGUGUAGGAUAGGUGGGAGGCUUAGAAGUGUGGACGCCAGUCUGCAUGGAGCCGACCUUGAAAUACCACCCUUUAAUGUUUGAUGUUCUAACGUUGACCCGUAAUCCGGGUUGCGGACAGUGUCUGGUGGGUAGUUUGACUGGGGCGGUCUCCUCCUAAAGAGUAACGGAGGAGCACGAAGGUUGGCUAAUCCUGGUCGGACAUCAGGAGGUUAGUGCAAUGGCAUAAGCCAGCUUGACUGCGAGCGUGACGGCGCGAGCAGGUGCGAAAGCAGGUCAUAGUGAUCCGGUGGUUCUGAAUGGAAGGGCCAUCGCUCAACGGAUAAAAGGUACUCCGGGGAUAACAGGCUGAUACCGCCCAAGAGUUCAUAUCGACGGCGGUGUUUGGCACCUCGAUGUCGGCUCAUCACAUCCUGGGGCUGAAGUAGGUCCCAAGGGUAUGGCUGUUCGCCAUUUAAAGUGGUACGCGAGCUGGGUUUAGAACGUCGUGAGACAGUUCGGUCCCUAUCUGCCGUGGGCGCUGGAGAACUGAGGGGGGCUGCUCCUAGUACGAGAGGACCGGAGUGGACGCAUCACUGGUGUUCGGGUUGUCAUGCCAAUGGCACUGCCCGGUAGCUAAAUGCGGAAGAGAUAAGUGCUGAAAGCAUCUAAGCACGAAACUUGCCCCGAGAUGAGUUCUCCCUGACCCUUUAAGGGUCCUGAAGGAACGUUGAAGACGACGACGUUGAUAGGCCGGGUGUGUAAGCGCAGCGAUGCGUUGAGCUAACCGGUACUAAUGAACCGUGAGGCUUAACCUU
This 2906-nucleotide ribosomal RNA is filed under the name Escherichia coli. Its description in RNAcentral is "23S ribosomal RNA". It matches the Rfam family "Bacterial large subunit ribosomal RNA". The record is from RNAcentral. Lineage: Bacteria; Pseudomonadati; Pseudomonadota; Gammaproteobacteria; Enterobacterales; Enterobacteriaceae.